This 377-nucleotide ribosomal RNA is filed under the name uncultured eukaryote. RNAcentral describes it as "partial 18S ribosomal RNA". It matches the Rfam family "Eukaryotic small subunit ribosomal RNA", at positions 592 to 976 of the family's 1831-position model. The record is from RNAcentral.
CAAUAGCGUAUAUUAAAGUUGUUGCAGUUAAAAAGCUCGUAGUUGGAUUUCGGGGCAGCCUGGCUGGUCCGCCGCAAGGCGAGUACUGGUCAGCCGCCCUUCCUCUCGAAAGCCCCGACUGCUCUUCGUUGCAGUGGUCGGGUAGUUCGGGACGUUUACUUUGAAAAAAUUAGAGUGUUCAAGGCAGGCCUACGCCUGAAUACAUUAGCAUGGAAUAAUGGAAGAGGACCUCGGUCCUAUUUUGUUGGUUUCCAGGGCCGAAGUAAUGAUUAAGAGGGACAGUUGGGGGCAUUCGUAUUUAGUUGUCAGAGGUGAAAUUCUCGGAUUUAUGAAAGACGAACAACUGCGAAAGCAUUUGCCAAGGAUGUUUUCAUUAA